Molecule: non-coding RNA, 75 nt
Organism: Podarcis lilfordi (Lilford's wall lizard)
Lineage: Eukaryota; Metazoa; Chordata; Lepidosauria; Squamata; Lacertidae
Source: the annotation of a GenBank genome assembly
AGGGGUGUAACUCAGGGCUGGAGCACUUGCUUGGCAUGCAGAAGGACCCAGGUUCAAUCCCUGGUGGCAUCUCCA